This 253-nucleotide ribosomal RNA is filed under the name uncultured bacterium. RNAcentral describes it as "partial 16S ribosomal RNA". It matches the Rfam family "Bacterial small subunit ribosomal RNA", at positions 524 to 776 of the family's 1533-position model. The record is from RNAcentral.
GACGAACCGUGCGAACGUUGUUCGGAAUCACUGGGCUUAAAGGGCGCGUAGGCGGGCCAGCAAGUCCGGGGUGAAAUCUUUCGGCUCAACCGGAAAAGUGCCUUGGAUACUGCUGGUCUCGAGGGAGGCAGGGGUCUGUGGAACUUCUGGUGGAGCGGUGAAAUGCGUUGAUAUCAGAAGGAACGCCGGUGGCGAAAGCGACGGACUGGUCCUCUUCUGACGCUGAGGCGCGAAAGCUAGGGGAGCAAACGGG